AUGAGAUGCUACAACUGGCUGUUUAUCUCUGUACAACUACGGAUCAUGAGAUUAGAAGCAGUGGAUUGGCAUGCACCGCGUGAAUCACCACAAAUAAGGGAACUACGGGAGCUUGUUAGAGAGGCGUCAGUUGACUGGCGACCGACCCGUGGCUGCCCCUCUUCUCCCAUUUCUGGAAACUCCCCCGUCGACCUGAAUUUUAGCAACUCCAACUUCGGGCGCCCUCCACCCUUGCCUGGCUACAGAUCUCGCAGCUGUGAUCAUUUGGUGCCGACACAGACACCGAUCGCUCGUGUUCAGGUUAGUGGGUUGAUGGUACCGGCUAGCGUUGUCGAGAGCCAGAUCGCAAGGAGAUGCCCGGUACAUGAUCAAUGGAAGUGGGAGGCUAUUCAACAUGGGUUCGAUGCUUACCUUGUUAGCUUUCCAUCCUUCGAGGAUUUGGACAGGGUCGAUGGAAUUCAGAUGAACGUGCCGUCGGUUAAUGCCCAGAUGACUGUCACAACAUGGAGAUCACAGGAGGUCCCACAUAAGUUGGAGCUUCAGCAGAUUUGGCUUCAUGUUGAGGGUGUUCCUCAUACAGUGCACCAUUUUUGGGGGCUAUGGGCCAUUGGUACUUUGAUGGGAAAGACCUUAGAUGUGGAUCUCAUUAGCCUUCGACGCCGUGGUGUUGUCCGGAUUCUCUUGGCUAUGACCAACUCUCAGAUUUUGUCUAAAGACAAAGAUACUGCGUGGCCUUUUGUUGCAACCGAUGUGCUGGUUAAGCUCAAGGGCUACGCCUUCACGUUCAGGAGGGAGCCAGCAGGAUACAUUCCGGAUCCUGACUUUGUCCCGUAUAUCUGGAAACGCAAGGGUGGUGAUGCUGACGAUGAGAGCGGCGCCAAGGAGAAGGGCGAUGAGAUGGACACCUCAGAACACCCAUCCAACCAUCCGUCGUCUAGUGCUGCUCCGGCGAAUAACAUUAAUGUGUCUCAUGGUCUGUCGAGUGGGGGCUCUGGUGGUGCGACGGGAGGUGGUUCUGUGCUCUUGGCUGUCACUCCAUUUAACUCCUCGUCGCAGACGUCGAGAGGCAUGGAGCAUGCCGCGGCUACGUCGCCGUUCGCUGCCCUCCAGGCGAUGCAGGCCACCGGCGGCUCGGCAGGGCACUCGGUCUCUCCUUCUGAUAAUGUGCAAAGAGCUUCUGAGGUGGCGUCGCAGCCGCCGUCGAUGACACGGACGACGUCGUCGAACUGUACCCAAUCAGGUGCAGGAAGCCGGAGGUACUGCGGGGCGCCCCGGUGCGCGUUUGAAGAGCUGGCAUCCAGAGGCUGGAGAUGA
RNAcentral lists this ribosomal RNA (1314 nucleotides) under Triticum aestivum (bread wheat). RNAcentral describes it as "partial small subunit ribosomal RNA". Lineage: Eukaryota; Viridiplantae; Streptophyta; Magnoliopsida; Poales; Poaceae. The record is from RNAcentral.